GAUGAACGCUGGCGGCGUGCUUAACACAUGCAAGUCGAACGAUUAAAGCCCCUUCGGGGGUGUAUAGAGUGGCGAACGGGUGAGUAACACGUGGGCAAUCUGCCCCUCACUUCGGGAUAACUCAGGGAAACUUGAGCUAAUACCGGAUACUCCGAACUGAUCGCAUGGUCGGUUCGGGAAAGCUCCGACGGUGAGGGAUGAGCCCGCGGCCCAUUAGCUUGUUGGUAGGGUAAUGGCCUACCAAGGCGACGAUGGGUAGCCGCGCUGAGAGGCGGAUCGGCCACACUGGGACUGAGACACGGCCCAGACUCCUACGGGAGGCUG
Molecule: ribosomal RNA, 324 nt
Filed under: uncultured Actinomycetes bacterium
Lineage: Bacteria; Bacillati; Actinomycetota; Actinomycetes
Description: bacterial SSU rRNA
Rfam family: Bacterial small subunit ribosomal RNA
Source: RNAcentral